This is a long non-coding RNA of Medicago truncatula (barrel medic), 858 nucleotides long. RefSeq lists it as uncharacterized. Lineage: Eukaryota; Viridiplantae; Streptophyta; Magnoliopsida; Fabales; Fabaceae. The record is from RefSeq and is a predicted model, not a curated record. The transcript has 3 exons.
AACUGUGGAGAAGCUGUAAACUUUGCUAUUGGUGAUUGGUUUCCACUCGGGGCUGCAGCUAGCAAACGUUAAGCAUUGCUUAUCUACAACUCCUCGAAAGAUAGAGGUUACAAAAUCAAACCUGAAGACACAGCAUCUUAUCGACCUAUCAUACUGUCUUUCUUGCAUCUUAUUCAAUUUUAUAAGACAUCGCCAUCUUGGUUGAAAAGUUCGAGAAAGCUGUCAAGUUAUUCAAAUACAUCAUUAGCUUCUGUGACAUGCAGCCUCUGCUCUAGAGAUUGUCAUGUAGCUUUCUUGUUGUGCAAGAAAUGCUAUUCCGAUCCAAUUUGCCUUUUCCAUAACAUUGUGCCCCAAAAUUGUUUAUGUGGGAGAGAACAUACUGUAUUUAAGAGGAACUUGAAGAUGCCGCCAAAAGUUUUCAAAAGGAAAAAGAAUACAUGAACGCGUUAUCUUUAACAGAUUUAUUCUCUUGUAACAUAAAUCAAGGCAUCAAAGAACUCAAGAAUAAUAAUUGGCAUGAGGAAAAAAGUGCUAGAAGAACUGUUAGCUCGCUAGGUGCAACAUCUAAACCGAAAACACGAGUUGCAAACAACAUCAAGCAUGCCGUUGAAAAGACUCAAAAGAAGCCAAAGAAUCGUAGUAGAAACAAUGCGUCUCCAUGAGUGAUGAGUACCAAAAGAGCACAAAUCCUUUAUAACUUGAGAAAACAUGAAUCAGAACUAAUUAUCAAAGUUCCUGCAGUAUCUUCCCUUUUGGCGACAUCUGAAAAUUCAAAGUAAGCUGUCAUCUUACUUGCAGAUGACAAAAAAGGCACUUUUCAGAUUGUGGUAGAUUAAUUUAGUAUUUUCAUUCUUUUCA